GCUGGCAGUUGCUUUUUAGUGCUAAUGGCCAGCUUCUCCUCCCACUUCUGUCUCCACAAUGAAUUGUUGACAAAUCUUUCCAGCAACCUUUUAAAAGACCAAAUGCAUACAAAGUGUUUUAGAGUGAGAAAGAGAGACGUGAGAGAAUCUACACAGGUUUGUGGCUGUGUACUUAUACUGGAUUUAUGGACAAUGUGAUGUCUAUUAAAAAUGAAGGGCAAAUAACAAUGUCUACCUCAAAGGCCAGAGCAGACACCCCUUUCUGACAUGGCUGUGAUCAGGAUAGUGUGCACCAGACCAAUGAAAUAUGACACUGCCACUCAGUCAAGGAGGGACUGUGUAAUCAGGGGACUGGUGCUGUGUGAAUGAGCUAAUCAGCUUCCUGCUCUCCAGAGAACACGUUGUUCAGUGAUCACCAACAGCCAGAGAAACCAACCAAGUCUGAUGCAUCAAACUGCUUCAAAUUAAAGAUCCAAGUAGAUUGUUCCAUCAUCUGUUCAAAAUGUAUGGCUUGCUGAAACAUAGUCUUCCAACCAAACCUAGCUGUCAAUCAAGCGGUAAAGUAAUAUAGUAGGACUUUUUGACCACACUAACCACAGAAGCUCAGAUGCCUUCAUGGCACCCUAUAUGCUCACUGGGGCUUGGGAUUCUCCCAAGACAUCUGCGUAACAGCUGCCACUACCAUUGGCUGCAUUUGUUAUUACAUUUGCUGUAGCUGCUUGGUUUAUAGGUCCCUUUUGCCCCAAGCUAAGUGCUUCAUACUGCCCUCCUUUCCAGAAUGGGGAGAAGUACUUUUUUUUUUUUUUUUUUUUCUUUUUCAUUUGUGUGUGUUUCUGGGAUGGAAUGUCAAUCUUCUACAACUGCAGAGACAUCUUCUACUCUCACUCACAUUUGGGACAGAUGUUUGCUGUAGUGAAUAUGC
Molecule: long non-coding RNA, 922 nt
Organism: Oxyura jamaicensis (ruddy duck)
Lineage: Eukaryota; Metazoa; Chordata; Aves; Anseriformes; Anatidae
Exons: 3
Source: RefSeq, a predicted model, not a curated record